UAUAGGAUAAGCAUAUUUGUAGAAGAGAAGAGAAAAGAAAAAGAAAUGGAAAAAGGAAAUAACAUAAAAAUGUAGCAGGAGUGAUUGCUUGGACCAUCUGACGAUGUUAGGGAUAGCCCUUGCUUUUUUUCCGUAUGUAUUUUCCCUCCCGGUAGACCACCGCCACACAACACAGAACAAUAGGGAGAGAGGAGACCCGCUGAUUGAUGGAUAAAUCUAUGUACUAUGGUCUUUGUGGGGCUGCAGCACAUAGUCCUUUGUGGGGCUGCAGCACAUGGUCCUUGUGGCUGUUAGGAUAGAAUCCUUGACCAUCAAGGACUGGCGGUUAGGAUAGCAUCUUGGACUAGCAUCUUAGCAGCAUCUUAGACUAGCAUCUUAGCAUAUGCUUGGCUGGCUAGCAGCCUAUAAAUAUGUAUCCCCAACCCCUCAGGUUGGCAUGGCAUUGUGUGAGAAAUAAACCAACGAAAAUUGUCCCAACUCUCCUAGUGUCAUCCACAACUAUCAAUGCUCAGGUUGAAAGGUCUAACAAGUGGUAUCAGAGCCAGGUUAUCUUGUACCCUGAGCAUUUCCUGCUCACCUCUCUCACCGGGAGCUGAGCAGCCUAAGCC
This 608-nucleotide long non-coding RNA is filed under the name Hordeum vulgare. RNAcentral describes it as "long non-coding RNA (HVUL_LNC020829)". Lineage: Eukaryota; Viridiplantae; Streptophyta; Magnoliopsida; Poales; Poaceae. The record is from RNAcentral.